AAAUUGAAGAGUUUGAUCAUGGCUCAGAUUGAACGCUGGCGGCAGGCCUAACACAUGCAAGUCGAACGGUAACAGGAAGCAGCUUGCUGCUUUGCUGACGAGUGGCGGACGGGUGAGUAAUGUCUGGGAAACUGCCUGAUGGAGGGGGAUAACUAUUGGAAACGGUGGCUAAUACCGCAUAACGUCGCAAGACCAAAGAGGGGGACCUUCGGGCCUCUUGCCAUCAGAUGUGCCCAGAUGGGAUUAGCU
RNAcentral lists this ribosomal RNA (249 nucleotides) under Salmonella enterica. RNAcentral describes it as "partial 16S ribosomal RNA". It matches the Rfam family "Bacterial small subunit ribosomal RNA", at positions 1 to 246 of the family's 1533-position model. Lineage: Bacteria; Pseudomonadati; Pseudomonadota; Gammaproteobacteria; Enterobacterales; Enterobacteriaceae. The record is from RNAcentral.